RNAcentral lists this transfer RNA (68 nucleotides) under Coprobacter secundus. It matches the Rfam family "tRNA". Rfam says of the family: Transfer RNA (tRNA) molecules are approximately 80 nucleotides in length. Their secondary structure includes four short double-helical elements and three loops (D, anti-codon, and T loops). Further hydrogen bonds mediate the characteristic L-shaped molecular structure. tRNAs have two regions of fundamental functional importance: the anti-codon, which is responsible for specific mRNA codon recognition, and the 3' end, to which the tRNAs corresponding amino acid is attached (by aminoacyl-tRNA synthetases). tRNAs cope with the degeneracy of the genetic code in two manners: having more than one tRNA (with a specific anti-codon) for a particular amino acid; and 'wobble' base-pairing, i.e. permitting non-standard base-pairing at the 3rd anti-codon position. The record is from RNAcentral. Lineage: Bacteria; Pseudomonadati; Bacteroidota; Bacteroidia; Bacteroidales; Barnesiellaceae. RNAcentral also lists the same sequence under 3 other names.
GGUAGUAGCUCAGUUGGUAGAGCAUCAGCUUCCCAAGCUGAGGGUCACGAGUUCGAGUCUCGCUUACC